This is a non-coding RNA of Paramuricea clavata, 473 nucleotides long. NCBI's taxonomy places the organism in Eukaryota, Metazoa, Cnidaria, Anthozoa, Malacalcyonacea, Plexauridae. The record is from the annotation of a GenBank genome assembly.
CCAUACUUUCCUGCAACUUCUCGGUCUUCUUCCAGUGUUUUUUAAGGUUUUUUCAUAUCCGUGCUAUUACAUUGUAUGGAAAGGUUUUGCUUUUACCAAUGGUAAAAUAUAUUUUUAUAAGUAAGUGUCUGAUUGCUUGAUCUCUUGGUUGGUUGAUUGAACACGUCAAUUGAACAGUUCGUUAAUUGAUUGAUUGAUUUUAUUAUUUAGUCCUUUUCCGUUUACUGUUCAGUAAACUUAACUAAUUUAACGAAUAUUGUGAAGAAGGAUCCGCAGUAAUUGGCUGUAGCUGUUGCGGAAAUCCUGCCUUGUUUAUAUAUAUAGUAAUUUGAUGUUUCUUCUUAAUAUUGUUACCAAGGCAAAGUUAGAUAAAUUAAAUCAGUUACAUAUAUAGUUAAUACGCCUUCGCCCAUUUAGUACUACAAAAUUGCAAGCAAAUUGUAAAUUUCGACAUACUAAAACGCUGUUUUCUG